AAAACACUACUCCGUAUUAAAAUGUUCAUUUCCAUUAUUGAAAAGAGAGGCAACGACAGUUGGGCCUGUUUGGGCUUUUUAUACGGGCCAUACGGCCGAAUUCACUAGGCUGGCCUCCUGAACUGACCUCAGUGCAAUUUCGUUCUUCUUCUCCUCAAUCAAAUCCCACGAACCCUCUCUGUUCCAAUCCAGGCCGCCAUUGUUUCGUUUCCGCCGGCGCUAUCUCCCACCCUUGCAGCGCCAUCUGCGAUUAGAGAAAUUCAGAGAAAGAGAGAGCAGAGGAGUGAGCGAGGAGGCAUCGCCGGCGACCGGAGAAGAGGAGGAGGAAGGCGGUGGGGGCUCACGCGUGCAUGGGCCGCGGUGCUGUUAUGGGACCUGCACGCGGCGGAUCGACGGGAGGCACCGGCGCCGGGGGCGGCCACUCGGGGCCAAGUGAUACUGUAAGCUGAAGCACCCCUAGUCUAAUGGAAGGAUCAAGUUGCAGGUUUUCGUUAGAAGCAUCAGGCUGCUACCCUGUACAUGUUGUUAUUUUGUUUCAAAAAAGAAAAUAAAUGAAUUUGAUACCAUGAGUGAUUUUACUGGCAUUUUAUUUAACUUUUGGCUAAAGACCGAUUAUUCAGAACCAUAACCUGUAUUUAGAAUAUUUACCAGCUGCUUGACAUAGUUUCUCCCUAAAAACUAAAAAUGGGGUGUAGUUUCAAGCCUUAUAUAUUCCAAGGAGUGUGUAAUGCCGAUGAUGAGGUGGAACUGGAAGGGCUUGCCAUGGGGAGGAGGCGGGGGAGGUGGUGGUGUUGAUGGCAGAUGGGGCUGCUAUUUCUGAAGCAGGUGUCAUGACAGAGCAUCUCUGAUCUGGACUCUGGAGUCACUGCUGCCAUUUUCUCGAGCUCUGCUCUUGACAAGGAUUCGCCUGAUCCAGAUUGCCAAAUCCCGGAGAACUUGAGUAAGCUGGAAUCAUGCUUGAUCCAUUAUAGGGCUGUACUUGAAGUAGUUGUAUAGUUCUCAGACACAUGCACGUUUCUCUCUUCUCACAUACGGCAGCAGUAGCAGAUUGCCUUUUCCAUA
This is a long non-coding RNA of Brachypodium distachyon (stiff brome), 1062 nucleotides long. RefSeq lists it as uncharacterized. The record is from RefSeq and is a predicted model, not a curated record. The transcript is spliced from 3 exons. NCBI's taxonomy places the organism in Eukaryota, Viridiplantae, Streptophyta, Magnoliopsida, Poales, Poaceae.